Molecule: non-coding RNA, 1388 nt
Organism: Ictidomys tridecemlineatus (thirteen-lined ground squirrel)
Lineage: Eukaryota; Metazoa; Chordata; Mammalia; Rodentia; Sciuridae
Source: RefSeq, a predicted model, not a curated record
AGAGCAUCUCUGAAACACAGAGGGCUGAAAUUUCAGGAAUAAACUUCCUUGGAGAAGACAAAAGGAAAACAGCCGAAAAUCAUUCAUGAGCAGCUGAUGAAUAAGGGCUUGGCAGACCCUGAGGACACUAGCUCCCUGGACGCUCAGAUUGUUGCCUUUGCCACCCAGAUCUACAGUUAUUAAGAAAGUGCCUGGCAACAUAAGAAGGAUAGACUCCUCAGACACUGCAGAUGAGGAACAUUUAGACGAAGAAGAUAUCCAGGAUCAAACCCAGGGUCCCAUGCCUACAAGACGAGUGCUCUACCGCUGAGCCAUAACCCCAGCCUGAGAACCAGUCGCUUUUGAUAACGCCCUACUCUUUCUGAACAGCUCUGGUUACUGAAAUACAUCCAAGGCCUGAGAACUUAGACCAUACCCUUCUCUGUGGCCCAGAUUCUAAAUCUUUAAGGCACUACAUGAUUUCCAUAAUGCACUCGACUGAUAUUAGAAGGGAAACUGUAAGGAAGUCACAGAAACAAACAAGACAAGACCAUACAUACAAGAAGAAAAGUCUUGGACAGAUUAGAGUUGAAGGGUAGAGGCUGUGAAGGGAUGAAUGAAAGAGAGAUAAAAGACAGUCCAAAUACUCAUCGAGGCAAACAUUUGGUACAUAAUUUUUUUAUACAACUAUAAUGAAUGUCAUUCUUCUCUAUGGAACAACAUGCCAGUUCUUUAACACAUCGCUGCUUGGUGCCCAGUGGGCAGCAAGUGCCCAAUUGCCAGUGCCACUUUUUAGUGCAUGUUCAUCUGCAGGAUAUUAAACAGAUUGCCAUCCUUUUGAUGUUUGUGAAUACGAGUAGUAAAUACCAUAUGAUGUGACUCAAUGGAUUUAGUUCAGGAAAAAGAAAAAGAGGAAUAAUAAGACAGUAAAAGGAGGAGGAGGGUAAUGGAGAAAGUAAAUUAGCAUUUCUUGUUGAGUGGAGGUGAGUAGUAAACUCUGUAUCUAGAAAAAAUGGUGCAUCUAGCAAUUCACCCCUAAAUUUCUGACAUAUCUUCUAAGGAAAUGACUCCCUAAAGAAUUUGCAAACAUUAUUUUUUUUUUAGAAAAUAGAAAAUCAUUAGAGAAUAGAGAAUGAUUUCAUUGUAGUUCAGAAUCUUUCAGAAUGUGCUCAGAUUAAUUGGCCAUAAAAAUUGUGUAUGUGAGAGUGCCCCAAAUUAUUCAUAGGCCUAGAAAUUAUUCUUAGUUUCACAAGAAAUCUGAUAAACUUUUUACUUUCACUUUCUUCAUGUAACAUAAAAAGAUAACAGUAUUGUUUGAGAUAAACUCUAAGAAAGGUACCAUUACCUGGGUAAAGACAAAGGAAAAUUAAUAUCUCAAAUAUAUUUUAAAAAUAUUUCUCCAGCUUGUA